Molecule: ribosomal RNA, 279 nt
Filed under: uncultured Prevotella sp.
Lineage: Bacteria; Pseudomonadati; Bacteroidota; Bacteroidia; Bacteroidales; Prevotellaceae
Description: partial 16S ribosomal RNA
Rfam family: Bacterial small subunit ribosomal RNA
Source: RNAcentral
AAACGACAUCGAAAGCUUGCUUUUGAUGGGUGUCGACCGGCGCACGGGUGAGUAACGCGUAUCCAACCUGCCCACCACUUGGGGAUAACCUUGCGAAAGUAAGACUAAUACCCAAUGAUAUCUCUAGAAGACAUCUGAAAGAGAUUAAAGAUUUAUCGGUGAUGGAUGGGGAUGCGUCUGAUUAGCUUGUUGGCGGGGUAACGGCCCACCAAGGCAACGAUCAGUAGGGGUUCUGAGAGAAAGGCCCCCACAAUGGGACUGAGACACGGCCCAUACUCC